GGAUUGGCGUGUCGGUCGUGCCUUACGGGGUAUGAACUGGCGUCGUCGAUUUCUCACCUUCUGGAGAAUCACGAUGCCCUUAAUUGGGUGUCGUGUGGAACCAGGACCUUUACCUUGAAAAAAUUAGAGUGUUUAAAGCAGGCAUUUUUGCUCGAAUACAUUAGCAUGGAAUAAUAAAAUAGGACGGUUUGGUUCUAUUUUGUUGGUUUCUAGGAUCACCGUAAUGAUUAAUAGGGAUAGUUGGGGGCAUUAGUAUUCAAUUGUCAGAGGUGAAAUUCUUGGAUUUAUUGAAGACUAACUACUGCGAAAGCAUUUGCCAAGGAUGUUUUCAUUAAUCAAGAACGAAAGUUAGGGGAUCGAAGACGAUCAGAUACCGUCGUAGUCUUAACCAUAAACUAUGCCGACUAGGAAUCAGACGAUGUUAAUUUUUUAAUGACUCGUUUGGCACCUUACGGGAAACCAAAGUGUUUGGGUUCCGGGGGGAGUAUGGUCGCAAGGCUGAAACUUAAAGGAAUUGACGGAAGGGCACCACCAGGGGUGGAGCCUGCGGCUUAAUUUGACUCAACACGGGGAAACUUACCAGGUCCAGACAUAGUAAGGAUUGACAGAUUGAGAGC
RNAcentral lists this ribosomal RNA (617 nucleotides) under Glomus sp. ZJ. RNAcentral's name for it is "SSU rRNA". It matches the Rfam family "Eukaryotic small subunit ribosomal RNA", at positions 643 to 1255 of the family's 1831-position model. Lineage: Eukaryota; Fungi; Glomeromycota; Glomeromycetes; Glomerales; Glomeraceae. The record is from RNAcentral.